UUUUUUUAUUCUGGAUAAAAAUAAACAUAAGUAUUUCAAACACUCCAAAAUAAUUUACAGGGUGGAUGAAAAAUAGAAAAUGGAGGGGUGCCUGGGUGGCUCAGUUGGUUAAGCAUCCAACUCUUGAAUUUCGGCUCCGGGCAUGACCUCAGGGUCCGGAGAUCGAGCCCCUGAUAUUCCUUCUAGGCGGCAAGAGAUUUCAUUUAACCUUCAUUUGACACACACUGAUCUAGGUCUGGGGACUCAAAGGUAUACCAGAUACACUUCCUGUCCUGGGAGCUCACGGCCGGGGAGACAGACACAAGAAUAGGUAAUUGUAUCUCUGAGGUAAGUGCCAGGAUAAAAAUAGGCUCCUCGUGUUAUGGGAGCUCGGUGUGGGCCGGAAGGCUUCCCGAUGGCCACGACACCCGAGCAGAGAGCAGAGUCGUAAGGGAGAUCUGGUCAGGGCAGAGGAAGGGCAUGCCAGGGCAGGGGGCUGCACGUGCAGAGGUACAAAGGUGAGAAGCAACGGGGCAGGAGCACGCUGUGCGGGAAGGCGGCCUAUGCUGAAGGCAGGGCCCAUCUGGGGAGCGUGGUCUCCAUCCUGCAGGGCACGGUGGGGAGUGGGGAAGGCCAUGUGGAAAUCUGUGCUCUAGGUAGAUCAUGGAGGCUGGUGGAGCUGGGAUUUGAGGAUCACAGGGCUGGGCACAGGGGGAUGAUGAGAAAGCUGUUGCGAGGGCCCAGAGGGAGAAGGGGCACCCCUGUGAUCCAGGAGCCUGGCAGGAGUCCUUUGCAUGCCGUCUUUGCACACACAGUGUGAGCAGAUCCAGCUUCUCCAGUUCCUUUUUCAGAAACAGACUCCUGAUCGAUGAUUCUUGACCUCUGAAAGCAUUGGUUCACACAGCCACUCAAUCGCUCCUGGAAGUUUUUUUUUUGCUAUUUUCAUAGAAUGGAUAUCAAAAUUCAUUUUGAUCAAAGUAUUUCAUUAGCUUUCGACUUUUCAGUGAGCAGCAAAGAGUCACCACUGAAUCAAGAACCUUUUGUUCUGUCAGCUAAUAUCAAGUAAGGAGCUUCUUUAAAAAGAAAUCCUGAUUAUACAAUCAUGAAUAAUCAUGAUGAAGAUAAAAAGAGGGAAGGAACAGAGGAGUCCAGUGUGCCAGCACGAGCUCCCUGUUGAGCUAAUUUUUUGAGAGGAUGGACAAAAUGUAGAGGAAAGAGCGUAAUCAGAGAUGAAUCCUGGAACAUGACACAAUCCCGAAAAAUACCGUCAGGAAGACCAUGCUGUGGUUUGCUGGAAAUCCUAAGGAAAACAAAACAGGCCUUCAUAGUGCCUUUGAUCAAAAUGAAUUUUGAUAUCCAUCCUAUGGACAAGAAGAAUGAGAGGGUGGAUCCACUGCAUAGGGGACUGCACAAGGUUGUGCAGCUCAGGAGGCACCUACACUCCCCGUCGUGGACAGAAGAGCAGCCACCAUACACCAUCAGGCUGCUGAUAAGAGGGCCUGGGGCUGGGGAACUGGAGACUCCACUGAUGCAGGUGGGGGGCAGGAGAGCAACUGGCCCUGGCACACUCCUAUUUCCAUGUGGCAGGACUUCAGCUUAACGACUAUAAGGAAUUCCUAACCUUUUGGAGGUGGUAAUGUCCUGUGGUGGCUGGAAAAAAUGAUCACAACCAGGGGGGCUUAAAACAAGACAUUUAUUCUCUCGUGGUUCUGGAGGCCAGAGUCAGGCAUCAAGGUGCGGCAGGACCUUCAACCCUGCACAGACUCUAAGGGAGGAUCCUUUCUGGCCUCUCCCAACUUCUGCUGGCUCUAGGCAUUUCUUGGCUGGUGGCCACCCGGUCCUGCUGCAGUGUCUGCCUCUAUCUUCACAGGGCCACGUCCUCUGUGUGGGUCUCUCUACUCCACAGGUCUCUUUAAGGACACUUGUCAUUGGAUUUAGGGCCCACCUGGCUAAUCCAAGUUGAUCUCAUCUCAAGGCCCGUCAUUACAUCUGAAAAGACCCUUUUCCCAAGUCAGGGAACAACUUACAGGUUGCAGGGAUUCGCAUGUGGACAUAUCUCUUGUGGGACCACCAUUCAACCCACUACGAGAUCAUAAACCACUUUCAGAAUCUGAUGAGAACCAGUGAACUGUGAAUCAUGUCACUGCUGGGCACUGAGGCUGAGACGAGGGUUCUUGAACAAGCAAUUUAUGGAGGGAGCGCUCUAAGAAGGGGAGAAAAGAAAGGAAGCGAGGGCAGGGGUCAGAAGCUCAGUAAGAAAUGGCCUCAGCUGGAGACUAGCUUGCACCUGGUCUCAUGAGCUGCCCUAGAGCAUGAAUUGCACUAGUGUUGUUCCCACCUGGAGGCAAGGGGUGGCCUUUGUACCCCCAAGUCAGUCAGGUUCCCUGGUGGGGGGCAGGUAGAGUCUCUGUGACCAGGAGCUCCCUCUAGGCCAAGAAGAAUUCAUAAAAGAAGUGGGCAGGAACACUCACAGCAGCCCUUGAGGGUAGGUCAAAGGGAUCUGGUCAACGCCCCACAUCUGCAGACUCUCUAGAAAAAUCACACACACACCCCAUUCAAUCUCAGGGACUUAGGCCCUCUAAGGCCUUAGACUCUAGGUUUAGGACCUGUGACCACUGCUGACCUAACACUUUGGGUCCCUCAUCUCCCAGAGGAAUGACUGGUGAUGUCUGGGAGGUGGACGGAGCACCCUCAAAUUGAUCCUCUUCUGACUGAACUUCCUGCGGAGCAGGCCUCCUGCCCUACGGAGGGGCUGCCUCAGGGUGAGGGAGAUGACUUCAAAGGAAAGUCCCUUUGGCCACAGAUGCACAGCCCUCCUUUCUAAUCAGCUUUUCAGUGAUACAGCUAAUAGCUUAAUCUCCACCUGUCCCACUCCUACCUCUCUCAAGCAGUUCUGAAUCCUGGCAGGAUAUUCACAAACCUGCUAAGACCCCAAGUCAUGUCAUCAGACAGUGCCUCUCAAACUACGAUUGGUAGGUUGGCUACCCGACCGCUUGCCCCAGGGUAUGAUGGACCCACUGCUUCCUCACUGGUCAAGCUUGUGCCAGAACAGUUGGCUGACCUCAACAGUGUACGCUGUGAUGCAGAGGGCUUGCGUGCUACGCAAACUCGCUUCCUUGCGGACAGGCACUUUGAGCAGCACUGACAGAGGCAAUUGUGGACAAUCCUGGGAGGCUGAUGAGACAGGUGGGCACCACCUGAAGGGCUCUCAUCUGAAACAGGGGGGACAGUGUAUUGAGCAUAAGUUAAAAAGGGGCAACAUCUGACUCAAAAUAAUGCUAUGGUAACAUUAAUGCUUAAUGGGGAAUCGUUCAGAGCCUUCACCACCGCUGCUGGAUCCUGGAGGCCUUGUCAGGGCAGUGGGCAGGUAUGAGGGCCAUACGGGGAAGGACCUGGAAGGACUUGUGGGGAAGCAGACCAGAGUGGAGACAAGGGAAGGUGCUGGAAAGGGAAGUCCUGUGGGUGAGACGUGGGAGCAGAGUGAGGGUUACUGUGUUUUGGAGAGCAGCUGCCAUCGUGGGGGAGGGGAGGUACUAAGCGGAGACGGAACUGCCAUGGAAGGUCUCUCAUUAGCCUGGGCCCUUUGGCAGGUCCUAGUAAUGUGCUCAUGUUUUUGUAAAAUUUUUUUAAAGAUUUUAUUUAUUUAUUCAUGAGAGACACAGAGAGGGAGGCAGAGA
Molecule: long non-coding RNA, 3656 nt
Filed under: Canis lupus familiaris (dog)
Lineage: Eukaryota; Metazoa; Chordata; Mammalia; Carnivora; Canidae
Description: lncRNA (ENSCAFG00000055954.1)
Source: RNAcentral